AGUGAACGCUGGCGGUAGGCCUAACACAUGCAAGUCGAACGGCAGCACAGUAAGAGCUUGCUCUUACGAGUGGCGAGUGGCGGCCGGGUGAGGAGUACAUCGGAAUCUACUUUUUCGUGGGGGAUAACGUAGGGAAACUUACGCUAAUACCGCAUACGACCUACGGGUGAAAGCAGGGGAUCUUCGGACCUUGCGCGAUUGAAUGAGCCGAUGUCGGAUUAGCUAGUUGGCGGGGUAGAGGCCCACCAAGGCGGCGAUCGGUAGGGCGUAUAAGGGGAUGAUCAGGCACACUGGAAGAGAGACAGGGCCCAGACUCCUACGGGAGGAAGCAGUGGGGAAUAUUGGGGAAUGGGGGAAUGCCGAAUCCAGCACUACCGGGGGAGUGAUGAUGGACUUCGGGUUGGAAAGCCCUUUUGUUGGGAAAGAAAAGCAGCCGGUUAAUCCCCCGCGGUUAUGACGGUACCCAAAGAAUAAGCACCGGCUAACUUCGUG
Molecule: ribosomal RNA, 492 nt
Filed under: uncultured bacterium
Lineage: Bacteria
Description: partial 16S ribosomal RNA
Rfam family: Bacterial small subunit ribosomal RNA
Source: RNAcentral